This 455-nucleotide ribosomal RNA is filed under the name uncultured bacterium. Its description in RNAcentral is "bacterial SSU rRNA". It matches the Rfam family "Bacterial small subunit ribosomal RNA", at positions 333 to 793 of the family's 1533-position model. The record is from RNAcentral.
UCACUCCUACGGGAGGCAGCAGUGGGGAAUAUUGGACAAUGGACCAAAAGUCUGAUCCAGCAAUUCUGUGUGCACGAUGAAGGUUUUCGGAUCGUAAAGUGCUUUCAGCAGGGAAGAAAAAAUGACGGUACCUGCAGAAGAAGCGAACGGCUAAAUACGUGCCAGCAGCCGCGGUAAUACGUAUGUCGCAAGCGUUAUCCGGAAUUAUUGGGCGUAAAGCGCGUCUAGGCGGCCAUUUAAGUCUGAUGUGAAAAUGCGGGGCUCGAACUCCGUAUUGCGUUGGAAACUGGAAUGGCUAGAGUAUCAGAGAGGUGGGGCGGAACUACAAGUGUAGAGGUGAAAUUCGUAGAUAUUUGUAGGAAUGCCGAUUGGGAAGCCAGCUCACUGGAUGAAUACUGACGCUCGAAGCGACGAAAGCGGUGGGGACGACAAACGGGAUUAGAUACCCCUGGUAG